CAUCCCCCAUUCCUUCUCCAAAAUUUCAUUUUCCCAAAUUCAAACCCUAGUUCACCUCUUCCUCUCUUCGUGGAAGCCGAGAGGUUUCCCCACCGCCGCCGUUCUUCCGGCGCGAUCGCCGGACUCCGUCACUCUCUACUUUACUCUGGUUCUCCCCUCUCGAAUUUUCAACUUAGGUAGGAACCCUAGCUUGGGGUGAAACCGGAAUCCCCCCCUCUUCGCUGCCCGUCGACCACUACUCUGGGAGGCACCGACGCCUUGGCGGAAACCACCGACCGUCGGUUCACCUUCACGACGGUAGGGAUACGUCCGGCGACCGUUCGUGCCGUGCGCCCGCUGUCCGCCGUCUCCUCGCAUCACUCCACGGCGACCCGGCGCCGUCGAGCUGUCGUCGUCGUCGUUCACCCUCGGCAGAGGGGAAAGGAGCAGCAACCUCCUCCAAGUUCCGGUUCCGGUCGGGAGCUCCAUCGCCCGCCGCCGUAGCUAAGUCUUCUAACUUAGUUAGUUUACAAUUUCUCUGGUGGAGUUGGUUCUGAUUUCAUGGUUUAGAAAUAGGCAGCUUAUGGUGGUUCUUUGGUGAGAUUCGAACUAGAGCUAAAUCCGCAAUUCCUUAAGUUUAUUGUCUAGUUUUUAAUAUGCUAGUUCUUGCAGAUUUCUUUAAGGUAUUUGGAUGGUACUGUAACUGAUUCUGGAGCUACUAGUUGUUGCUAUUAUUCUUAUUGUGUCUCAGUUAUGGAGUAUUCUUGAUGAUGUUGCUAUAUGUGAUUACUUGCUGCAAUGAGUGAUGAUAUUUAAGUUCCAAGCUCACUCUCCCUAGUAUUCCAGUAUCUAUGCAUUUGUGAUGUCUAUGAUGCCUUCUAAAUGCAAGUGUUGGUGUUACCUCUUGUGAUUGAAGUGGAAAAGGGCUGUGAGUCUCUGGCCAACGUUGAAAACAGGCUCCCUGUUCUUAGCCUUGCUCCCCUUUCACUCCUCAACUUGCUACUUAGUUGAGUGAAUAUGUUGUGUGGUAGAGGGUGGAACCGAGGCAUGAAGUAUUUAUAGGGGUUGUAACUGAAAGCUGCAAGGUGGCUGUUUUGGUUGAGCAGAAAAAGAGUGUUCUUGGCCUGGGUUGUGUGGCUGUCCUUUAACUGCAUUUUGGCACUUUAUGAGUGCUUAGUACUUAGUCCAUUUAUGAGGUUCGUUUGUUUAUGGCAGGUGCACACAGAGGAAGGGAUUGUGCGGCUGAUCUCCUUGGCAGUGGCAGUUGUAAAAAGGAGAGUACGAGCUGCCAACUGCAGCCUUGCAGGGGUUGCAGCUGCUGGGGGUGGAGAGCCGGCUGGACUUGCUUCUUUCAGCCCAAGCACUUCCUCAUUUUUUGGAAAGGGACAGGGAGACUGAUCUCCUCUAGGCUGCCACCUCGUCGGUUCGGCCCAACGGGCAGUCGAAAAUCUUGGCCGAAACCCGUGCUAAAAGGGGCCCGAAGCUAGUAGUUCCAUUUGUAAUAGAAUAGUGUCUCUACUUUGAAGUUUUUCCCUUUCCUUUUCAUCAUGUAUGCGAAAAAUCUAUAGAAAUUAGUGUGUAAUUUGUUUCCUUUAUUUCCAUUAUCGAACAUUUGUAAUCUUGAAAUUUAUACACCGCAUUUCGUUUACUUAAGAAAUGAACAGAUGCACUUUCACUUCA
Long non-coding RNA from Salvia splendens (bonfire salvia), 1659 nucleotides. RefSeq lists it as uncharacterized. Lineage: Eukaryota; Viridiplantae; Streptophyta; Magnoliopsida; Lamiales; Lamiaceae. The transcript is spliced from 2 exons. The record is from RefSeq and is a predicted model, not a curated record.